This 209-nucleotide ribosomal RNA is filed under the name Chloroflexia bacterium SDU3-3. RNAcentral's name for it is "partial 16S ribosomal RNA". It matches the Rfam family "Bacterial small subunit ribosomal RNA", at positions 1 to 233 of the family's 1533-position model. Lineage: Bacteria; Bacillati; Chloroflexota; Chloroflexia. The record is from RNAcentral.
CGAUGAAGAGUUUGAUCCUGGCUCAGGACGAACGCUGGCGGCGUGCCUAAUGCAUGCAAGUCGCACGCGGUGCCUUCGGGCACUGAGUGGCGAACGGCUGAGGAACACGUGGGGACCUGUCCGGGAGUGGGGGACAACACCGCGAAAGCGGUGCUAAUCCCGCAUACGCUCUGAGGAGGAAAGCCGAAAGGCGCUCCCGGGUGGCCCUG